RNAcentral lists this ribosomal RNA (348 nucleotides) under Dermocybe semisanguinea. Its description in RNAcentral is "eukaryotic LSU rRNA". It matches the Rfam family "Eukaryotic large subunit ribosomal RNA", at positions 1 to 346 of the family's 3401-position model. The record is from RNAcentral. Lineage: Eukaryota; Fungi; Basidiomycota; Agaricomycetes; Agaricales; Cortinariaceae.
GUGACCACAAAUCAGGUAGGACUACCCGCUGAACUUAAGCAUAUCAAUAAGCGGAGGAAAAGAAACUAAUUAGGAUUCCCCCAGUAACUGCGAGUGAAGCGGGAAAAGCUCACAUUUUAUAUCUGACAGUCUUUGACUGUCCGAGUUGUAAUCUAGAGAGUGUAUCCGCGCUGGACCGUGUACAAGUCUCCUGAAUGGAUCGUCCUAGAGAGUGAGAUCCAGUCUUUGCACUGACUACUUGGCGUUGUCAGGCGUUCUCAGAGAGACGAGUUGUAUCCGCAUGCACCUCAAAAUGGGUGGUAAUUCCUGCUGAAGGCUGAAUAUUGGCGGAAAAUCGAUCAGCGACGA